This 454-nucleotide ribosomal RNA is filed under the name uncultured bacterium. RNAcentral's name for it is "bacterial SSU rRNA". It matches the Rfam family "Bacterial small subunit ribosomal RNA", at positions 340 to 786 of the family's 1533-position model. The record is from RNAcentral.
UACGGAAGGCAGCAGUGGGGAAUAUUGCACAAUGGGCGAAAGCCUGAUGCAGCUAUGCCGCGUGUAUGAAGAAGGCCUUAGGGUUGUAAAGUACUUUCAUCGGGGAGGAAAAAACAAAACUAAUAAUUUUAUUUCUUGACGUUACCCGAAAAAGAAGCACCGGCUAACUCCGUGCCAGCAGCCGCGGUAAUACGGAGGGUGCUAGCGUUAAUCAGAAUUACUGGGCGUAAAGAGCACGUAGGUGGUUUUUUUAAGUCAGAUGUGAAAUCCCUGGGCUUAACCUGGAACUGCAUUUUGAAACUGAAAUACUAGAGUAUCGUAGAGGGAGGUAGAAUUCUAGGUGUAGCGGUGAAAUGCGUAGAUAUCUGGAGGAAUACCUGUGGCGAAAGUGGCCUCCUAAACGAAUACUGACACUGAGGUGCGAAAGCGUGGGGAGCAAACAGGGAUAGAUACC